UCUAACUGCACUCACACUAACAGCUCUAACUGCACUCGCAGCUCUAACUGCACUCGCACUAGCAGCUCUAACUGCACUCACACAGCUCUAACUGCACUCGCACUAGCAGCUCAUACUGUGCGAUUUUGGCAACAACAUCGGACUCUGUCGUCUUUGCUGUUUCCUUUUUCUCUGCGGCGGUUGUAAACACUUCCUGUUCCAGCGCGGUUUCAUGUUCGCUUAGAUUAAAGUUUUGAAACUUUGGGACUACGUUGUUUACAUCGGUUUGAUCCUUAAACAAGACUUGGGUGAAGAAUUUCUGUUGGGAAUCCUCGACUUCACGCUGUCUGGAAGCUUCGCUCGAAGCAAAGUUAACGGAAAUGAGCUUCUUAUUGUAAGUAACGGUGGCUAGCUAACUAGUCAGACCUCUGUCUGUUAUUAUGCAGCGACGUGGUGGUUGUUUGGAGAUAACUAGAGAUAUUUUGGUGGGAUAAUCCCCGCUGAAUCGAUGUAAACCAUCACUAAACAGUCAGUAAUAGACUAACUAGUUACUAGCCCAUAGUUAGAGUAACUUUCCUGUCUCCUCAUGUGGCUCAGGCCAGCUUUAUGAGUAACGUUAGUUAGCCAACACAGCUACAACCACGGUAAGAUUUAACAAAUAUAUCAAAUAUUAGUUUUUAUAUUAGCGUAUACAACACUAGUGUAAGUUUAUAUUUGAAACAUCAAUCCCCUGGACGCCUUUAUUAGGCCGUGUUUUCUCUUCCUCGAAGGCUCUCCAUGAAGCUUCCGCUAAAGCACUUAAGAUGAAUAAAUGAAGUUAUAAACCAUCUGUCGCGUUGGAGAGCUGAUUAAAGCCCAGACUGAUGGAGAACUGAGCAUUAGCUGAAACG
Molecule: long non-coding RNA, 869 nt
Organism: Ictalurus punctatus (channel catfish)
Lineage: Eukaryota; Metazoa; Chordata; Actinopteri; Siluriformes; Ictaluridae
Source: Ensembl